Molecule: long non-coding RNA, 475 nt
Organism: Antechinus flavipes (yellow-footed antechinus)
Lineage: Eukaryota; Metazoa; Chordata; Mammalia; Dasyuromorphia; Dasyuridae
Exons: 3
Source: RefSeq, a predicted model, not a curated record
GUUGGGGAAGGCUUCCUCUAGAAGGUGGAAUUUUAAUUGGGACUUAAAGUCCAAGAGGUCUGUAAGAGGAGUGGAAGAGGUGUGGGAGAUAAUCCAAGAAUGCCCAGAGCAGAGAGAUGAGAUGCUUUGUGUGUGGAACAGCCAAGAGGCCAGUGUCACUUGGAAGGAAGGAAGAAUAAGGGGAGAAAGGGAAGGAGAAAAAAUUGGAACUCAAAAUCUUAUUUUAAAAAAAGAAUGUCACAAACUGUCUUUACAAGUCAUGGAAGAAAGGGAAUUGAGGUGGACAUGUGAGAAUGUGGAUUUUGCCUGAUGGAACCUAAUGAAUUAUUUUUAAAAAUCAUGUUAGAUGCAGAGAAGCUUUUGAUAAAAUAGAAUGUCCUUUAAUUAAAAAAAAAAACAUUCCAAGUAUAGGCAUAGAAGGACUUUUUUUAAAAAUAACAAGAUGUAUCUAUCAAAAACUAAAAGAAAGCAUUAU